RNAcentral lists this ribosomal RNA (253 nucleotides) under uncultured bacterium. RNAcentral's name for it is "partial 16S ribosomal RNA". It matches the Rfam family "Bacterial small subunit ribosomal RNA", at positions 524 to 776 of the family's 1533-position model. The record is from RNAcentral.
UACGGGGGGGGCAAGCGUUGUUCGGAAUUACUGGGCGUAAAGGGCUCGUAGGUGGCCAACUAAGUCAGACGUGAAAUCCCUCGGCUUAACCGGGGAACUGCGUCUGAUACUGGAUGGCUUGAGUUCGGGAGAGGGAUGCGGAAUUCCAGGUGUAGCGGUGAAAUGCGUAGAGAUGUGGAGGAACACCGAUGGCGAAGGCAGCCCCCUGGGUCAAAACUGACGCUCAUGCACGAAAGCGUGGGGAGCAAACAGG